This 26-nucleotide non-coding RNA is filed under the name Mus musculus (house mouse). The record is from RNAcentral. Lineage: Eukaryota; Metazoa; Chordata; Mammalia; Rodentia; Muridae.
UGUCCUUUGCUUCCUCCGUCCUCGCU